Molecule: long non-coding RNA, 147 nt
Organism: Rhincodon typus (whale shark)
Lineage: Eukaryota; Metazoa; Chordata; Chondrichthyes; Orectolobiformes; Rhincodontidae
Exons: 3
Source: RefSeq, a predicted model, not a curated record
GUCACCUCUCUGUGCCAUCUUAGGUACCUAGAACUGGAGCACUACCAGAUUUCCCCAACUUGUACAGCUGGGCCCUCUUUCAACAGGCAAAGUACAACUUUAAGCACAUACUCCUGCCUGUGAAAAAGGGGACCAUAAGACCGUAAG